Molecule: ribosomal RNA, 253 nt
Filed under: uncultured bacterium
Lineage: Bacteria
Description: partial 16S ribosomal RNA
Rfam family: Bacterial small subunit ribosomal RNA
Source: RNAcentral
UACGAAGGGGGCUAGCGUUGUUCGGAAUUACUGGGCGUAAAGCGAACGUAGGCGGUGUUCCAUGUCAGAGGUGAAAGCCUGGGGCUCAACUCCAGAAUUGCCUUUGAAACGGGGACGCUUGAGUCCGAGAGAGGAUGGCGGAAUUCCAAGUGUAGAGGUGAAAUUCGUAGAUAUUAGGAAGAACACCAGUGGCGAAGGCGGCCAUCUGGCUCGGUACUGACGCUCAGGUUCGAAAGCGUGGGGAGCAAACAGG